Molecule: long non-coding RNA, 729 nt
Filed under: Rosa chinensis
Lineage: Eukaryota; Viridiplantae; Streptophyta; Magnoliopsida; Rosales; Rosaceae
Description: sRNA RchiOBHm_Chr6g0264511
Source: RNAcentral
UAAUAAUAAUAAUAAUAAAAAAACACUCCCCCUUGUGUCAAGUCAAAGACGAAAUAGUGAAUGAAUUGUUGCCUCACUAAAAACUUUUCCAAGUAAAAACUAGGGCUGGGCGUCUGGACCCAAAUAAUCGAAGACCCGACCCGAACCAAGCAAAAAAGCCCAAUUCGGUUCGGUUUUGAUUUAGAAAUUCUUGGUUCGGUUUAGGAUCCGACCCAAAUAUAUUUUCUCCCAAGCCAGUUGUCUGUAUAUGAUUGGGCUAGCUUCUUUGACCGGGACAAUUGUCGACCCGUAUUUUGUUUCUGUUGCUACUUGUCUGUAUAUGAUUGGGUGAUAUAUUAAACCUCCCAAGCCAGUUCCUCCUCCUCCUCCUAAACCUCCAUAGAUUGGACCCGACCUUCAGACCAUCGCCGAACUCGGAUUUCUAGAAUCCUCUUUCUCCCGCUCAAAGAAGCUAGCCCGAAUCGUCGACUGGACCUGUACCUUCAACAACCCGUCGACGACAAAUCAUCACCUCGUUCGAAAUCGGCCUAAGGCAGCUCCCUAGCUCACAACCACGACGAGGAGUAUUGAAGCUGAAAAGGAGAGGGCUCGUUGUUUUGCCCACAUCGAAACCCGAUCUGCAAGAAGAAGAAGAGGAGGGGUCAGAUUUUGCAUUUCAAAUGGGGGAGACAUGAUAGUUUAUAUUUGGGAUUCACUUUCUCUGGUAUCUAGGCAAAGCCACCGCGUGUC